UGAACUAGGACAGGUCAAGGAUAUGUCAGAAUCCAAACAACUAGAAAUAUGAACAUAUACUCCGAUGAGUUUUGCAGAUAUCAUGUUGGAACUGUGGCAGUGGACUGCACUAAUGCGCCUUGACCAGCAGAUGGCAUCCUUCCAUUGACCUUCUCAGACAUUAAGCCUCAUUUAAGGUCAAAAAUCUUGGACGAAAACACCCUGGCUUCAGCCAACACUGAAGAAAGCCAUCACACUGAUACUCCACCUGACAGACACAGACAGACAGACAUGUGAGGUUAUCCUAUAAGAAAGAAAAUCCAUGAACUGGAGACACGCCUUGAUGUGUGCGGACCGGCCUACAGGCCGCAGCAGGGGACGCACGGAUGCAGGUUGAUGUUAGAGAUGCUCGCAUCAGCACCAGAGACGGUCGCAUCAUCCCAUGCAGACAAUGAUGCUUGCAUCAGCACCGCCGCGUCCCACUGGCUCUCUGCGGUCAGCCAUCAACUACAACUGUGACCCAUAUCAAUGCAUCCCAGGCCUUUGAAAACCUCUCCUUGCAUAUCCAAUACUAUGAAUCUUUGUUGUUUUCAAGGGUGCUGAAGGUAUCUGCUUAUCAACAGUCUAUCUAAUACUGUACAUAAAAUCUUU
Long non-coding RNA from Carassius gibelio (silver crucian carp), 630 nucleotides. RefSeq lists it as uncharacterized. The record is from RefSeq and is a predicted model, not a curated record. The transcript is spliced from 3 exons. NCBI's taxonomy places the organism in Eukaryota, Metazoa, Chordata, Actinopteri, Cypriniformes, Cyprinidae.